RNAcentral lists this unclassified non-coding RNA (268 nucleotides) under uncultured fungus. Its description in RNAcentral is "partial contains small subunit ribosomal RNA, internal transcribed spacer 1, and 5.8S ribosomal RNA". The stretch from base 1 to 73 matches the Rfam family "Eukaryotic small subunit ribosomal RNA", at positions 1759 to 1831 of the family's 1831-position model. Lineage: Eukaryota; Fungi. The record is from RNAcentral.
GCAAACUUGGUCAUUUAGAGGAAGUAAAAGUCGUAACAAGGUUUCCGUAGGUGAACCUGCGGAAGGAUCAUUAGUGAAUGAACGCCGACCCCUCGUGGGAAGGCAAACCCCUUCACAUCCAAUCACCCCGGCGUUCGGACCUCUGGUCUGUCGCCGUUUUCACACACACAAGUCUUUAGAAUGUAAUCAGUGAAGCCCGCUUGCGGGUUGAACAAAUAAAACUUUCAACAACGGAUCUCUUGGUUCUCGCAUCGAUGAAGAACGCAGC